AUUCAGUCCCUAAAGAUAAAAACUUGCUCUGCACUCCCCCCUUUUUCCUUCUUCCUUCUUCUUCCUCCCUAAUCGUAUUUCUCUUCAUUCUGUUUCUUUUCGCGCAAAAAAUUCUUGUGAAGCCGUUGUCCUCUUCCGUGAGCUCGAAAGCCACAUCCCGCACAGGUAAGCUUCUUGUCUGGUUCGAUUGAAAAAUUUCCUAGGGCACUCUCCGAAUCCUGUUCCGGUUCCCUGUCGUCGGCAGUCGGUUGAUUCGGUCGAAGAACUACCGAAGGCUGUCACCGGUUCCGUGACCCGUAUUUCUUGGUCUCCGGUGAAAUUAGAUGUACCAAGUGUGUUUUUGUGUCGAUUGAUUCGGUCGAAGAACUACCGAAGGCUGUCACCGGUUCCCUGGCCCGUCUUUCUUGUUCUCCGGCGAAAUUAGAUGUACCAGGUUCCGAUGGACAUGGAGCAAAGUAGUCUGAAAUUAUUAAUUAUAUGUUCCUACGAAGGUGAGCAUCAUGUAAUUCGUUUAGAAGAGGGCACCACGCUGGAGGAUCUUUACCGGAAUAUAUCGAAAAGAUGGAAUAAAGUGAGUAUUGAGGCGGUAAAACUCCAAUAUAUUGCACCUAUUCAGAAAAGCUACGUGACGUUAUUGUGUGACGAUGAUGUCGCAAAUAUGUGGAGAAUGCAUAUCUUGUUAAAGGUAAUGUUUGUGGAUAUGAUUGCACGGUGCAGAAGCGAGCACCAGAGCGUGCCUCUCCGAAGCACGGUUGGACGCAGGUAGUAAGUAUCCACCUCCGCGAUUUUGUAGUAGCGCGGUGCAGAACGAACCACUGAAGAGAUUGUAAAGAUAUGUAGUGGGGAUAUAACGU
This is a long non-coding RNA of Andrographis paniculata, 854 nucleotides long. RefSeq lists it as uncharacterized. The record is from RefSeq and is a predicted model, not a curated record. Lineage: Eukaryota; Viridiplantae; Streptophyta; Magnoliopsida; Lamiales; Acanthaceae. The transcript has 3 exons.